AUACGUAGGGUGCGAGCGUUGUCCGGAAUUACUGGGCGUAAAGAGCUCGUAGGUGGUUUGUCGCGUCGUCUGUGAAAUUCCGGGGCUUAACUCCGGGCGUGCAGGCGAUACGGGCAUAACUUGAGUACUGUAGGGGAGACUGGAAUUCCUGGUGUAGCGGUGAAAUGCGCAGAUAUCAGGAGGAACACCGGUGGCGAAGGCGGGUCUCUGGGCAGUAACUGACGCUGAGGAGCGAAAGCAUGGGUAGCGAAAAGGAUUAGAUACCCUGGUAGUCCAUGCCGUAAACGGUGGGCGCUAGGUGUAGGGGUCUUCCACGACUUCUGUGCCGUAGCUAACGCAUUAAGCGCCCCGCCUGGGGAGUACGGCCGCAAGGCUAAAACUCAAAGGAAUUGACGGGG
This 398-nucleotide ribosomal RNA is filed under the name uncultured bacterium. Its description in RNAcentral is "partial 16S ribosomal RNA". It matches the Rfam family "Bacterial small subunit ribosomal RNA", at positions 523 to 918 of the family's 1533-position model. The record is from RNAcentral.